CACACCUUAAGGUAAAUUAUCUCUCCAUUUUACGGUUCAGGAUACCGAGUCUCAGCGAUUUUAAGUGAUUUGUCCAAAAUCAUACAGCUAGUUAAGUGGUGGAGUCAAGAUUUAAACCCACGGCUGUCUGACACAAAGGCUUUAUCCGGUGAGGUAGCUCUCUUUGUCAGUUUCAGGCUUGGGCUGAGUACCUAUUACGAGUCACAUUAGAAGAGGAGGACAUAAAUUUUUGCAGGGUUUCAAGAGUUCCUUCUAAGUGUAAUCACUGAAUGUAAUACAGAAUAGUUGACGAACACAAAUCACCGAUUGGGUGAAACAGGCACCUAUGAGAUUUCUUCUUUUUAUUUUCUCGGGGGAGCAUAGCAUUGCCAGAUAACAUACAGGAUGCCCAGUGAAAUUUGAGUUUCAGAUAAACGAUGAAUAAUUUUUUUUUGAGACGGUCUCGCUCUGUCUCCCGGACUGGAGUGCAGUGGCCCAGUCUGGCUCACUGCAGCCUCCGCCUCCCUGGUUCAAGUGAUUCCCAGUGAUUGAACUAAUUUACACUUGCACCAACGAUAGAACAGUGUUCUCUUUUCUCGCAACCUUGCCAG
RNAcentral lists this long non-coding RNA (590 nucleotides) under Homo sapiens (human). RNAcentral describes it as "HSALNT0015083". Lineage: Eukaryota; Metazoa; Chordata; Mammalia; Primates; Hominidae. The record is from RNAcentral.